GAAAUGCGAUAAGUAAUGUGAAUUGCAGAAUUCAGUGAAUCAUCGAAUCUUUGAACGCACAUUGCGCCCCCUGGUAUUCCGGGGGGCAUGCCUGUUCGAGCGUCAUUUCACCACUCAAGCCUCGCUUGGUAUUGGACAACGCGGUCCGCCGCGUGCCUCAAAUCGACCGGCUGGGUCUUCUGUCCCCUAAGCGUUGUGGAAACUAUUCGCUAAAGGGUGUUCGGGAGGCUACGCCGUAAAACAACCCCAUUUCUAAGGUUGACCUCGGAUCAGGUAGGGAUACCCGCUGAACUUAAGC
This 298-nucleotide unclassified non-coding RNA is filed under the name plant metagenome. RNAcentral's name for it is "partial contains 5.8S ribosomal RNA, internal transcribed spacer 2, and large subunit ribosomal RNA". The stretch from base 1 to 105 matches the Rfam family "5.8S ribosomal RNA", at positions 50 to 154 of the family's 154-position model. The record is from RNAcentral.